GAGUGGCGGACGGGUGAGUAACACGUGGGUAACCUGCCCUAAAGUGGGGGAUAACAUUUGGAAACAGAUGCUAAUACCGCAUAAAACCUAACACCGCAUGGUGUAGGGUUGAAAGAUGGUUUCGGCUAUCACUUUAGGAUGGACCCGCGGUGCAUUAGUUAGUUGGUGAGGUAAAGGCUCACCAAGACCGUGAUGCAUAGCCGACCUGAGAGGGUAAUCCGCCACACUGGGACUGAAACACGGCCCCAACUCCUACGGGAGGCGCCCACAAGGAAUCUUCCACAAUGGACGAAAGUCUGAUGGAGCAACGCCGCGUGAGUGAAGAAGGUUUUCGGAUCGUAAAACUCUGUUGUUGGAGAAGAAUGUAUCUGAUAGUAACUGAUCAGGUAGUGACGGUAUCCAACCAGAAAGCCACGGCUAACUACGUGCCAGCAGCCGCGGUAAUACGUAGGUGGCAAGCGUUGUCCGGAUUUAUUGGGCGUAAAGCGAGCGCAGGGCGGUUUCUUAGUCUGAUGUGAAAGCCUUCGGCUCAACCGAAGAAGUGCAUCGGAAACUGGGAAACUUGAGUGCAGAAGAGGACAGUGGAACUCCAUGUGUAGCGGUGAAAUGCGUAGAUAUAUGGAAGAACACCAGUGGCGAAGGCGGCUGUCUGGUCUGUAACUGACGCUGAGGCUCGAAAGCAUGGGUAGCAAACAGGAUUAGAUACCCUGGUAGUCCAUGCCGUAAACGAUGAGUGCUAGGUGUUGGAGGGUUUCCGCCCUUCAGUGCCGCAGCUAACGCAUUAAGCACUCCGCCUGGGGAGUACGACCGCAAGGUUGAAACUCAAAGGAAUUGGCGGGGGUCCACACAAGCGGGGGAACAGGUGGUAUAAUUUGAAGCAACGCGAAGAACCUUCCCAGGUCUUGACAUCCUUUGACCACUCUAGAGAUAGAGCUUUCCCUUCGGGGACAAAGUGACAGGUGGUGCAUGGUUGUCGUCAGCUCGUGUCGUGAGAUGUUGGGUUAAGUCCCGCAACGAGCGCAACCCUUAUUACUAGUUGCCAGCAUUUAGUUGGGCACUCUAGUGAGACUGCCGGCGACAAACCGGAGGAAGGUGGGGACGACGUCAAAUCAUCAUGCCCCUUAUGACCUGGGCUACACACGUGCUCCAAUGGAUGGUACAACGAGUUGCGAGACCGCGAGGUUUAGCUAAUCUCUUAAAACCAUUCUCAGUUCGGAUUGUAGGCUGCAACUCGCCUACAUGAAGCCGGAAUCGCUAGUAAUCGCGGAUCAGCAUGCCGCGGUGAAUACGUUCCCGGGCCUUGUACACACCGCCCGUCACACCAUGAGAGUUUGUAACACCCAAAGCCGGUGAGGUAACCCUC
Molecule: ribosomal RNA, 1363 nt
Filed under: Latilactobacillus sakei
Lineage: Bacteria; Bacillati; Bacillota; Bacilli; Lactobacillales; Lactobacillaceae
Description: Lactobacillus sakei 16S ribosomal RNA
Rfam family: Bacterial small subunit ribosomal RNA
Source: RNAcentral